GUGGAAGGAUCAUUACCUAGAGUUUGUAGACUUCGGUCUGCUACCUCUUACCCAUGUCUUUUGAGUACCUUCGUUUCCUCGGCGGGUCCGCCCGCCGAUUGGACAACAUUCAAACCCUUUGCAGUUGCAAUCAGCGUCUGAAAAAACAUAAUAGUUACGACUUUCAACAACGGAUCUCUUGGUUCUGGCA
Molecule: unclassified non-coding RNA, 190 nt
Filed under: uncultured fungus
Lineage: Eukaryota; Fungi
Description: partial contains 18S rRNA, ITS1, 5.8S rRNA
Source: RNAcentral